This 301-nucleotide ribosomal RNA is filed under the name uncultured bacterium. RNAcentral describes it as "partial 16S ribosomal RNA". It matches the Rfam family "Bacterial small subunit ribosomal RNA", at positions 509 to 808 of the family's 1533-position model. The record is from RNAcentral.
CAGUAGCCGCGGUAAUACGUAGGUCCCGAGCGUUGUCCGGAUUUGUUGGGCGUAAAGCGAGCGCAGGCGGUUAGAUAAGUCUGAAGUUAAAGGCUGUGGCUUAACCAUAGUACGCUUUGGAAACUGUUUAACUUGAGUGCAAGAGGGGAGAGUGGAAUUCCAUGUGUAGCGGUGAAAUGCGUAGAUAUAUGGAGGAACACCGGUGGCGAAAGCGGCUCUCUGGCUUGUAACUGACGCUGAGGCUCGAAAGCGUGGGGAGCAAACAGGAUUAGAUACCCCCGUAGUCCCUGUCUCUUAUACA